AGCAGCCGCGGUAAUUCCAGCUCCAAUAGCGUAUAUUAAAGUUGUUGCAGUUAAAAAGCUCGUAGUUGAAUUUCGGGAUUUGUCAGUUGGUCGGGCUUCACUGUCCGUACUGACUUGAUGAGUUCCUACCUUCUGAAUAACCAGCAUGCUAUUAAGUUAGUGCGUUGGGGAAGCAGAUCUAUUACCUUGAAAAAUUAGAGUGCUUAAAGCGGGCUUAUGCUUGAAUAGAUUAGCAUGGAAUAAUAAAAUAGGACGGCAUGGUUCUAUUUUGUUGGUUUCUAGGAUCACCGUAAUGAUUAAUAGGGAUAGUUGGGGGCAUUAGUAUUCAAUUGUCAGAGGUGAAAUUCUUGGAUUUAUUGAAGACUAACUUCUGCGAAAGCAUUUGCCAAGGAUGUUUUCAUUAAUCAAGAACGAAAGUUAGGGGAUCGAAGACGAUCAGAUACCGUCGUAGUCUUAACCAUAAACUAUGCCGACUAGGAAUCGGACGAAGUUAAUUUUUUAAUGA
Molecule: ribosomal RNA, 505 nt
Filed under: uncultured Acaulospora
Lineage: Eukaryota; Fungi; Glomeromycota; Glomeromycetes; Diversisporales; Acaulosporaceae
Description: SSU rRNA
Rfam family: Eukaryotic small subunit ribosomal RNA
Source: RNAcentral